CUGCUGCCUUCCGUAGGAGUUUGGGCCGUGUCUCAGUCCCAAUGUGGCCGUCCACCCUCUCAGGCCGGCUACUGAUCGCUGCCUUGGUGGGCCGUUACCCCGCCAACUAGCUAAUCAGACGCGGAUCCAUCGUACACCACCGGAGUUUUUCACACUGCCCCAUGCGGAGCCGUGCGCUUAUGCGGUAUUAGCACCUAUUUCUAAGUGUUAUCCCCCGGUAUACGGCAGGUUAUCCACGCGUUACUCACCCGUCCGCCA
This 258-nucleotide ribosomal RNA is filed under the name uncultured bacterium. RNAcentral describes it as "partial 16S ribosomal RNA". The record is from RNAcentral.